UGAUGUAUUUGAUUCUUUAAAUCUCAAAAGCAAUACAAAUAAACUAUGUCACAGUUCCCAAAAAUCGUUAUUAAGUACUGGAACAUAUGACAUACCUAAAGAGGAUAUAUUUGUAGAUUCUACAUAUAAAGAAAAAACAGCAAUAAGUAAUAGAACCCCAUCACCUUCUGGAAUUGACACCUUACCGGAUAAGACUUCCAAAAUACGCGGCCGAACUGCUAGGAAGCAAGAUCUUCUGUUUGGGGACAUUAAAAUUGCACCCAAGACUGGCAGAAUGUCGCGAUCGUACACACAAAAUGAUGUCAUCUGUGAUAAUCCGCUUAUACGAGUUUCAAGUACUCCAGGAUAUUUAAAGCUCUAGCACAUACAAUAUAAGAGCCUUAUGGAAUUCUUAAUAGCACUAUGCAACAAAAUCAAACUUUUUUAAUCUGGAAUUAAAUUUCCUCUUUUGCUUUUUAGUUUAAGCUUUGGCUUGCCGUCUUAGUAAGCUUUAAAUAAAUAAUUUAUCAUUUU
Molecule: long non-coding RNA, 513 nt
Organism: Drosophila obscura
Lineage: Eukaryota; Metazoa; Arthropoda; Insecta; Diptera; Drosophilidae
Exons: 3
Source: RefSeq, a predicted model, not a curated record